This is a non-coding RNA of Tursiops truncatus (common bottlenose dolphin), 163 nucleotides long. Lineage: Eukaryota; Metazoa; Chordata; Mammalia; Artiodactyla; Delphinidae. The record is from Rfam.
GUUCAAUUUUGCUGUGAACCUCUAACUGCUCCCCAAAAUAAGUUUGUUAUUUUUUUAAAAAAGGAGGAAGAAAAGAACUGAGCAUUAUUCUCUUUGACAAAAGGUAAAAUGACAAGGACUAUCAGGCUGACCUCCCUUCCCCAGGAAAUGAAAGAAGUCACAC